Molecule: long non-coding RNA, 854 nt
Filed under: Glycine max (soybean)
Lineage: Eukaryota; Viridiplantae; Streptophyta; Magnoliopsida; Fabales; Fabaceae
Description: long non-coding RNA (GMAX_LNC003127)
Source: RNAcentral
UUCCAUAAAAAUUAAAACAUGCAUACACAACUAACAAAGUUUUCAUUGUAAUUCAACCAAAUCAUUUUGGAAGAUGUAUCUUUUUUAUUUUCUGAAUAAUAUCUAGCAAAGUUUAACGUGAAAAAACAACAAAGUUUGCAUACAUUUAUUUUUUCUGGUCGUUGCCUGCCCUUAUCCCUUCACAGUUGUAGUCUUCAGUUUCCACCAUUCCUCUUCCCUUUCCGGCAACCCUUUCGUUUCUCAAAUUAAACUCAAAUCUUUAUGUUCAAAUCUCUAAUAACAUGCAUCUUCUUUAUGAAUAUAACAUUUAGAUCCAUGAUAUCAAUACAGAAAAUCAACAAAAAUACACAAAACAAGUCCUCAAGACAAACCAGAAUAAAAAAUAAUUACAGAGAAAAAGAAGAAAACAAUCAAUGCUUUCCAUCAUAUAUUUGAAAUUGUUCACACAACAUAACUAUUACAGAGAACAAAAACUUACAAAGAACAACCCAUCACAGAAAAUAAAAGACCGCAAAAUCAUCGCAUCAAGCUAAACCCACCAUGAACCACCUCCGUCAAAAUUGCAAACCACCUAUCAUGAAAAACCCACUGCGAACUACCCAUCAAAAAAACCAGAUCUGAUUGAAAAAACUGAGAUAAGUCAGAACCCAUCACAGAAAAAGAACUCAAGAAAAUUUGCUAGAUCUAGAAAGGAGAAGGGAGGUGGGUGGUCCUGGGUGUUGGUGAUUGAUAAUUAGUAUGCAUACUUAAUUUUUGUACUUAAAUUAUAUAAUAAUUACUUUUUUUUCUCUUUUAAUGAUCCUUUUGACCUAAAGUGUGUGUUUUGUUUUAUUAUAGAGUUAUGGUACAUCAAC